GAGACACCCUUAUGGGGCAGGACUUGCUUCAUUCAGUGGGGCUUUGGUGCUCACUGAGUCUGCCCCCUGAAUGUGUCUCU
This 80-nucleotide microRNA precursor is filed under the name Myotis lucifugus (little brown bat). RNAcentral's name for it is "mir-9229 microRNA precursor family". It matches the Rfam family "mir-9229 microRNA precursor family". Lineage: Eukaryota; Metazoa; Chordata; Mammalia; Chiroptera; Vespertilionidae. The record is from Rfam by way of RNAcentral.